UAAUCACUUCCUCCGUCCGGAAUUACUUGUCGCUCAAACGGAUGUAUCUAGAUGUAUUUUAGUGCUAGAUACAUCCGUUUGAGCGACAAGUAAUUCCGGGCAGAGGGAGUACCAU
Triticum aestivum (bread wheat) is the source of this 115-nucleotide non-coding RNA. Lineage: Eukaryota; Viridiplantae; Streptophyta; Magnoliopsida; Poales; Poaceae. The record is from Rfam.